AUUAGUUUAUUAAAAUAUUAAUUUUGGAGAUUAAAGUAAAAGGAUUCUUUAUUCUUGA
This 58-nucleotide transfer RNA is filed under the name Chrysomela populi. Its description in RNAcentral is "tRNA-Pro". Lineage: Eukaryota; Metazoa; Arthropoda; Insecta; Coleoptera; Chrysomelidae. The record is from RNAcentral.